RNAcentral lists this ribosomal RNA (253 nucleotides) under uncultured bacterium. RNAcentral describes it as "partial 16S ribosomal RNA". It matches the Rfam family "Bacterial small subunit ribosomal RNA", at positions 524 to 776 of the family's 1533-position model. The record is from RNAcentral.
UACGAAGGGGACUAGCGUUGUUCGGAUUUACUGGGCGUAAAGCGCGCGUAGGCGGAUCGCUAAGUCAGGGGUGAAAUCCCAGGGCUCAACCCUGGAACUGCCUUUGAUACUGACGACCUGGAGAUCGGGAGAGGUUGGUGGAAUUCCGAGUGUAGAGGUGAAAUUCGUAGAUAUUCGGAGGAACACCAGAAGCGAAGGCGGCCAACUGGCCCGAUACUGACGCUGAGGCGCGAAAGCGUGGGGAGCAAACAGG